This 483-nucleotide ribosomal RNA is filed under the name uncultured Pelotomaculum sp. Its description in RNAcentral is "bacterial SSU rRNA". It matches the Rfam family "Bacterial small subunit ribosomal RNA", at positions 900 to 1382 of the family's 1533-position model. Lineage: Bacteria; Bacillati; Bacillota; Clostridia; Eubacteriales; Desulfotomaculaceae. The record is from RNAcentral.
CUUAAAUGAAUUGACGGGGCCCGCACAAGCGGUGGAGCAUGUGGUUUAAUUCGACGCAACGCGAAGAACCUUACCAGGGCUUGACAUCCCCUGACCGCGUAUGAAAGUACGUUUUCACCCUCGGGUGACAGGGAGACAGGUGGUGCAUGGUUGUCGUCAGCUCGUGUCGUGAGAUGUUGGGUUAAGUCCCGCAACGAGCGCAACCCCUACGUUUAGUUGCUAACGCGUGAAGGCGAGCACUCUAGACGAACUGCCGUUGACAAAACGGAGGAAGUGGGGAUGACGUCAAAUCAUCAUGCCCCUUAUGUUCUGGGCUACACACGUGCUACAAUGGCCGGUACAGACGGACGCAAAGCCGCGAGGUGGAGCAAAUCCUAAAAAGCCGGUCUCAGUUCGGAUUGCAGGCUGCAAUUCGCCUGCAUGAAGUCGGAAUCGCUAGUAAUCGCAGGUCAGCAUACUGCGGUGAAUACGUUCCCGGGCCUU